RNAcentral lists this ribosomal RNA (253 nucleotides) under uncultured bacterium. RNAcentral describes it as "partial 16S ribosomal RNA". It matches the Rfam family "Bacterial small subunit ribosomal RNA", at positions 524 to 776 of the family's 1533-position model. The record is from RNAcentral.
UACGUAGGGGGCAAGCGUUGUCCGGAAUCAUUGGGCGUAAAGCGCGCGUAGGCGGCCCGAUAAGUCCGCCGUGAAAGUCCAGGGCUCAACCCUGGAAUGCCGGUGGAAACUGUCGGGCUGGAGUCCGGAAGAGGCGAGUGGAAUUCCUGGUGUAGCGGUGAAAUGCGCAGAUAUCAGGAGGAACACCAAUGGCGAAGGCAGCUCGCUGGGACGGUACUGACGCUGAGACGCGAAAGCGUGGGGAGCGAACAGG